RNAcentral lists this ribosomal RNA (539 nucleotides) under uncultured bacterium. RNAcentral's name for it is "bacterial SSU rRNA". It matches the Rfam family "Bacterial small subunit ribosomal RNA", at positions 356 to 896 of the family's 1533-position model. The record is from RNAcentral.
GAGGAAUAUUGGUCAAUGGGCGAGAGCCUGAACCAGCCAAGUAGCGUGCAGGAAGACGGCCCUAUGGGUUGUAAACUGCUUUUAUGUGGGGAUAAAGUGAGCUACGUGUAGUUUAUUGCAGGUACCACAUGAAUAAGGACCGGCUAAUUCCGUGCCAGCAGCCGCGGUAAUACGGAAGGUCCGGGCGUUAUCCGGAUUUAUUGGGUUUAAAGGGAGCGUAGGCUGGAGAUUAAGUGUGUUGUGAAAUGUAGACGCUCAACGUCUGAAUUGCAGCGCAUACUGGUUUCCUUGAGUACGCACAACGUUGGCGGAAUUCGUCGUGUAGCGGUGAAAUGCUUAGAUAUGACGAAGAACUCCGAUUGCGAAGGCAGCUGACGGGAGCGCAACUGACGCUUAAGCUCGAAGGUGCGGGUAUCAAACAGGAUUAGAUACCCUGGUAGUCCGCACAGUAAACGAUGGAUGCCCGCUGUUGGUACCUGGUAUCAGCGGCUAAGCGAAAGCAUUAAGCAUCCCACCUGGGGAGUACGCCGGCAACGGUG